UAGAUCGUAACAAGGUUCCGUAGGUGAACCUGCGGAAGGAUCAUUACCACACCGAUCCAAGAUCUGUCUUCAUUGUGAAUUCGGAUGGCAUGGGCAGCAGCUUGACUGCUGUACUAUGUCGUCCACUGUGUUUGGCUCGUGACUUUUGUUGCGAGCCAUCCAUAUUUCUUCUAUAUGGUAAAACAAUUUAUAUGUAAUUUGCUGAUUUUACUAACUAGUCUUAGUACUAGUAGUACUAAUCUGCAAGAUCCAAAUGACCUAAAGCUAAAGUGCAGCUGGUUUGGUGUUGUGCCUUGUGCCAACACUACCCUGUACACAAAACCUAAUGACUUACAACUUUCAGCGGUGGAUGUCUAGGUUCCCACAACGAUGAAGAACGCAGCGAAAUGCGAUACGUAAUGCGAAUUGCAAGACCUCGUGAAUCAUUAAAAUUUUGAACGCACAUUGCGCUUUCGGGAUUUUCCCGGGAGCAUACUUGUCUGAGUGUCUGUGGAUCCCACUCAGCGCUGGUGUUAUUGUUAUCAUCGGUUGCUGGUUGCUUUGGCUUUGACGGUGGUUGCUGCUCCAGUAGCCAGCCGCUGCUGUCUUUGCUUAAAUUCUACAUCACUGUACGUGCAUAGAUCUAGAAAUGUCAUGGUUCUGUCUGAAUGACGGCGUUGACAAUCUCAUCUAUCUCUGGUAGCUUGUCUCUGGAGUUUAAAUUGAGUUUGUUGUUAGCUGUUUGCCAAACGUUCCCGGUCAGUGUCUACGAUCUGGGUAGUGGUUGUGGUGUCUUCUUCACUUCCACUAUCUACACAAUUCCGGAUCUCAGAUCAAGUAAGAUUACCCGCUGAACUUAAGCAUCUGUCGGACUGCAGGA
This 859-nucleotide unclassified non-coding RNA is filed under the name Pseudo-nitzschia calliantha. Its description in RNAcentral is "sequence contains ITS1, 5.8S rRNA gene, ITS2". The stretch from base 335 to 489 matches the Rfam family "5.8S ribosomal RNA". Lineage: Eukaryota; Bacillariophyta; Bacillariophyceae; Bacillariales; Bacillariaceae. The record is from RNAcentral.